This 71-nucleotide transfer RNA is filed under the name Leptopoecile sophiae. RNAcentral describes it as "tRNA-Leu". It matches the Rfam family "tRNA". Rfam says of the family: Transfer RNA (tRNA) molecules are approximately 80 nucleotides in length. Their secondary structure includes four short double-helical elements and three loops (D, anti-codon, and T loops). Lineage: Eukaryota; Metazoa; Chordata; Aves; Passeriformes; Sylviidae. The record is from RNAcentral.
ACUUUCAAAGGAUAGUAGUAAUCCAAUGGUCUUAGGAACCACAAACCUUGGUGCAAAUCCAAGUGAAAGUA